This 392-nucleotide ribosomal RNA is filed under the name uncultured alveolate. RNAcentral describes it as "SSU rRNA". It matches the Rfam family "Eukaryotic small subunit ribosomal RNA", at positions 496 to 900 of the family's 1831-position model. The record is from RNAcentral.
UUCGGUCUUGUAAUUGGAAUGGGUGCGACUUAAAACCUCGCACGAGUAUCAAUUGGAGGGCAAGUCUGGUGCCAGCAGCCGCGGUAAUUCCAGCUCCAAUAGCGUAUAUUAAAAUUGUUGCAGUUAAAAAGCUCGUAGUUGAACAUGUGCUAGUACAUUUUUGUCUGUCUCUGACAGUGCAAUUGUGUCUCGCAUUUUUUCUGGGGGUCUUUGCGCAGUUAACUCUGCGUAGAGCUUGCCAGACUUUUACUUUGAGAAAAUUAGAGUGUUUCAAGCAAGUUUGCGCUUUGCAUACUACAGCAUGGAAUAAUUUUACACGAUUCGCGUCUUGUAUUAUUGGUUCGAAGAUAUGAAUAAUGAUGAAUAGGGACAGUUGGGGGCAUUCAUAUUUG